RNAcentral lists this long non-coding RNA (297 nucleotides) under Capsicum annuum. Its description in RNAcentral is "long non-coding RNA (CANN_LNC006062)". The record is from RNAcentral. Lineage: Eukaryota; Viridiplantae; Streptophyta; Magnoliopsida; Solanales; Solanaceae.
UUUAGAUUCGCCCAUUUUAUUAAUUUCUCAAUUCCAACCCCCCACCUAGCUUCGUUUCCAUCAAUUACACCAAACAUUACUCCAAUUCAUUCCAGGUAUCACCGAAAUCACAUCGUCAAACACAUAAAAUAUCAUAACAUCGACAAAAUCCACCAACCAUGAUCACACCACACAUAAUCACAACAAUUCAACCAAUCAAGGCAAAGAAAAGAGAACGAGUUAAGAGAAUGGACCUCAAAGGAACUUGUUUUCGUUGAUAAUAAAGAAAUCCAAAACCGAAAUCCUCAAAUGGGAGCC